This 497-nucleotide ribosomal RNA is filed under the name uncultured bacterium. RNAcentral describes it as "partial 16S ribosomal RNA". It matches the Rfam family "Bacterial small subunit ribosomal RNA", at positions 28 to 507 of the family's 1533-position model. The record is from RNAcentral.
GAUGAACGCUGGCGGCGUGCCUAAUACAUGCAAGUCGAGCGAACAGACGAGGAGCUUGCUCCUCUGACGUUAGCGGCGGACGGGUGAGUAACACGUGGAUAACCUACCUAUAAGACUGGGAUAACUUCGGGAAACCGGAGCUAAUAUCGGAUAAUAUAUUGAACCGCAUGGUUCAAUAGUGAAAGACGGUUUUGCUGUCACUUAUAGAUGGUUCCGCGCCGCAUUAGCUAGUUGGUAAGGUAACGGCUUACCAAGGCGACGAUGCGUAGCCGACCUGAGAGGGUGAUCAGCCACACUGGAACUGAGACACGGUCCAGACUCCUACGGGAGGCAGCAGUAGGGAAUCUUCCGCAAUGGGCGAAAGCCUGACGGAGCAACGCCGCGUGAGUGAUGAAGGUCUUCGGAUCGUAAAACUCUGUUAUUAGGGAAGAACAAAUGUGUAAGUAACUAUGCACGUCUUGACGGUACCUAAUCAGAAAGCCACGGCUAACUACGUG